RNAcentral lists this ribosomal RNA (492 nucleotides) under uncultured bacterium. Its description in RNAcentral is "partial 16S ribosomal RNA". It matches the Rfam family "Bacterial small subunit ribosomal RNA", at positions 29 to 507 of the family's 1533-position model. The record is from RNAcentral.
AGUGAACGCUGGCGGUAGGCCUAACACAUGCAAGUCGAACGGCAGCACAGUAAGAGCUUGCUCUUACGGGUGGCGAGUGGCGGACGGGUGAGGAAUACAUCGGAAUCUACUUUUUCAUGGGGGAUAACGUAGGGAAACUUACGCUAAUACCGCAUACGACCUACGGGUGAAAGCAGGGGAUCUUCGGACCUUGCGCGAUUGAAUGAGCCGAUGUCGGAUUAGCUAGUCGGCGGGGUAAAGGCCCACCAAGGCGACGAUCCGUAGCUGGUCUGAGAGGAUGAUCAGCCACACUGGAACUGAGACACGGUCCAGACUCCUACGGGAGGCAGCAGUGGGGAAUAUUGGACAAUGGGCGCAAGCCUGAUCCAGCCAUACCGCGUGGGUGAAGAAGGCCUUCGGGUUGUAAAGCCCUUUUGUUGGGAAAGAAAAGCAGCAGGUUAAUACCCCGCUGUUCUGACGGUACCCAAAGAAUAAGCACCGGCUAACUUCGUG